Molecule: ribosomal RNA, 422 nt
Filed under: uncultured bacterium
Lineage: Bacteria
Description: partial 16S ribosomal RNA
Rfam family: Bacterial small subunit ribosomal RNA
Source: RNAcentral
AAUCUUCCGCAAUGGACGAAAGUCUGACGGAGCAACGCCGCGUGAGUGAUGAAGGUCUUCGGAUCGUAAAACUCUGUUGUUAGGGAAGAACAAGUAUCGUUCGUAUAGGGCAGUACCUUGACGGUACCUAACCAGAAAUCCACGGCUAACUACAUGCCACCAGCCGCGGUAAUACGUAGGUGGCAAGCUUUAUCCGGAAUUAUUGGGCGUAAAGCGCGCGAAAGCGGUUUCUUAAGUCUGAUGUGAAAGCCCACGGGUCAACCGUGGAGGGUCAUUGGAAACUGGGAAGCUUGAGUGGAGAAGAGGAGGGUGGAAUUCAAUGUGUAGCGGUGAAAUGCGUAAGAAUAUGGAGGAACACCAGUGGCGAAGGCGAAUCUCUGGUCUGCAACUGACGCUGAGGCGCGAAAGCGUGGGGAGCGAAC